RNA transcript from Brachypodium distachyon (stiff brome), 1547 nucleotides. It is a transcript of the gene named bZIP transcription factor TRAB1, with no coding region annotated. The record is from RefSeq and is marked provisional. Lineage: Eukaryota; Viridiplantae; Streptophyta; Magnoliopsida; Poales; Poaceae. The transcript has 4 exons.
CCCCCACCUUCCCACCACUCCCGGAUCAUCUGCGCCGCCCCUGUCCUGCUCCCAGCCACAGAGCAUCCGCCGGCGCCGAUCGAUCCCCCGUUCGCUUCACUCAGAGGAUCCCGGGAGGUUGGGCCACUGGCCGCACCGGCGCCAGGAGCCGACACCUGCCCCCCCGUCGCACUGUCCCUUUCCGCUCCCCCGCCGCCGCCGCACGCACCAGCGAAGCAAAUCCCAGCUCACUCGAUCCACCACCCGCCCGCCCGGGCCGAGUCGAGUCGCUUGCCUUCCAAUCUGGUCGUCUCGCGCAUCGAUCGAUCGCCCCCGCGCACGCGUCCAUCGCUUUGCCAUCUCCGGCAUCCCCAAUCAACCUAUAUAGCUCCCCGCGAAAAUCCCUCUCUCCCGGCUCUUCUUGUUCUUCGUUGCAGCAGUGGGAAGGGAGGGGGAGGUGGUGGUGGGGAGGGAUGGAUCUGGGGGACGGCGGGGAGUCGGAGAGGAAAGGGGCGGCGCCGCCGAUGCCGCUGGCGAGGCAGGGGUCGGUGUACUCGCUGACCUUCGACGAGUUCCAGAGCACGCUCGGAGGGGCGUCCGGCGGCGGCGGGCUCGGGAAGGACUUCGGGUCCAUGAACAUGGACGAGCUGCUGCGGAGCAUCUGGACGGCGGAGGAGAGCCAAGCGAUGGCUUCGGCGUCCGCGGCCCCCGCGGGGGAGCUGCAGCGGCAGGGCUCGCUGACCCUGCCCCGCACGCUCAGCAUCAAGACGGUGGACGAGGUCUGGCGGGACUUCGUGCGAGACGCGUCGCCAGGUGCGGCCGGCGGCGGGGAGCCGCUGCCUAAGCGGCAACCGACGCUCGGUGAGAUGACGCUGGAGGAUUUCCUUGUCAGGGCCGGGGUCGUCCGAGAGAACCCCGCUGCCGCGGCAGCGGUGGACGCAGCCGUGCCGCCGCCCCUGGCUGCGCGGCCCAUUCAGGUGGUAAACAAUGGCUCUAUGUUCUUCGAGAACUUUGGUGGUGCCAAUGGCGCCUCCGGCGCAAGUGCGAUGGGGUUCGCUCCGGUGGGGAUUGGGGAUCCAAGUCAUCCGACCAUGGGAAACGGGAUGAUGCCUGGCGUGGCAGGGAUGGGGGUUGGUGCAGUCACCGUGGGUCCGCUGGAUACGUCAAUGGGUCAGCUUGAUUCCGUAGGCAAGGUGAAUGGGGAACUGUCGUCGCCUGUGGAGCCGGUGCCUUACCCCUUUGAGGGUGUGAUAAGGGGCAGGAGGAGUGGUGGGCAUGUGGAGAAGGUGGUGGAGCGGCGUCAGAGGAGGAUGAUCAAGAACAGGGAAUCUGCAGCCAGAUCACGAGCUCGGAAACAGCUGUUUUGUGGUUGCAAGAGGCUGCGCUAAAAGAUAAUAUUCUGAAUCUGAUAAAUCGGCAUGUUGGCCUUGCCCUUGCCAUGUUGAUAACAAUGGAUAUUGCCCAAGGCAUACACUAUGGAGUUGGAAGCUGAAGUUCAGAAACUCAAGGAACAAAACGAGGAGUUGCAGAAGAAACAGGAGGAAAUGCUAGAAAUGCAGAAAAACAAG